GUAGUUCGCGGGAGGUUGUGAUCAUAUAUAUUUUCAGAAGUCUGCCCUUCAUCUGUCUGCUGGUGGUGUUCUUUUACCUAAACAGGGACAAAAAACAAGUCACAGCAUCAAGACCAGAAAGUCAGGAGUCAGGAGAAAAAACGGAUGAAGACCUGGAGGCCGGAGAGACACAGAGGAGUGAAACUGAAGUAGCGAAACAGGGUGAGAAUGUUUCUGAACAGGAGAAAAGGAGGGUCAACAACCAGAAACCUGAAGUUACUACUGCAGCAACAGAAGAAGAAAAAGAAAAUGAAGAAAAACAGAUUGAUGUAGUUGUAGACACUGAACAAGGUACAUCUCCAAUGCGUGACGAUGAAAAAAACAAGACUGAAUCUGUUCUGAACACUGAUGAAAAGACAUCUAAUGACUGAUGCUGAAGAAGUGACUGUUUCUGUGCUGGGCGGCUUUGUUUCAGCUCUGUGAGACAUACAGGAAAUGGAGUUAUGGGUGUGUUGUUCAGGUCUAUGAUGCCACUUCCUGCAUAAUUGCUUGUUUGCAGACUCAUAAUGGUUUGCAAUGAUUUACACUGAAUCCUGAAAGUAGGUGAAAUAUAGUAUGUCUUGUGCAUGCAUGAAUCUUUCUGUUGGAUUGUGUGUAUUGUGGGAUUGUGUAUAUGGUUGUUUUUCAGUGUGUCUUGGGUGAAUCGAAUGUGAGAUCAGUGUUGUGGUUUACUGUGGGCUUCACUGUGAUAAAAUUAGUUGCGUGGGGAGGGGGUGAAAUUCUGAGAGUACGAGUGUCUCAUGCGUGUGAAAGGUUAUUAUGUGGGAGUAAAGCAGAGUUCAGAUUCUCUGCAGAUGCUCAGAAAUGAAGUGUUCCUCCAGACUCCUGUGUGGGCUCCUCGUGUCAUGCCUUUAUUUCAGAGUGUCAAGUGAGAAUCUGUCUGUGACUCAGACUCCAUCCAACAUCACUGUGAAUGAAGGAAAAUCUGCUCAAAUCAAAUGCUGCUGGAAUAUACAGAAUGUUAAAGUUGCUUGGUACAUCAAUGAGAAAAAACAAAACCAGGAUCUCAAAGGACAUGAACCAUGUGCAAUUCUGAACCUCACAAACAUACUUAAAAAUGCUUCAGGUCAUUAUGUUUGUGGAGUGACUCAAGACAUACCAUUCCUGCUUCAGAAGAAUGGUAGUGGAACAGUCAUAACUGUCAGCGACAUAGAUAACAAAACAGAGACUGUUUCUAGCCGGCCUCAAACUACUCAGACUGCACACAGUGACACUUCACCUCUAUCUCUGCCUUUGUCUCUGGCUGCUGCCGUCGGCCUGCUGACCCUCUGCUUGGCCUUCAGUGUGUGCAAGAUGAGAAACUCCUGUAAAAAAUCAGAGCGAGUGGUCAUUCACCAGACGCCUAACAGUGAGGGUGAGGAGCAUGAGCACAUGGAAGAAGAGGACGGUAGCACGGGCUCCUCUCGAGGAUCCCUCCAAUGGUAUCAAGUGCCUGUUUACUGGUCUUACUUUGAUCUACAGAGGGGUGAAGACCAGUGACAACCAGAAAGGAAAGACAAACGUGAUGUUCAGUUCACUGGAUUGCAUUUUGCAUUCUCUCCCCUUUCAUGAGAGCAUUUUUGUAAAUAGCAGAAGUGAUUUUAAUCUUCAGAUAGGCUUCUUGAAACCCUCAGUUGAAGCUCUUGAUUGUGCUAGCAGAUGUUAAUCUCUCUGUUUGUAUAGCAGCUCUAUUGAUUUGUUUUUUCUUAUUUUAAUUUCUUUUACAUUUUUUUAUGAGAGAUUUCUUUAAUUAAAAUGAAGAUGUGUCAUACUGACACGCAUGGAAAACUACUUGGAUUUCAUGCCCAGACAGAUGUAAAAAAGUUUUAUAAUAAAGAGUUUUAUGCUGUACA
Cyprinus carpio (common carp) is the source of this 1871-nucleotide long non-coding RNA. The record is from Ensembl. Lineage: Eukaryota; Metazoa; Chordata; Actinopteri; Cypriniformes; Cyprinidae.